RNAcentral lists this unclassified non-coding RNA (352 nucleotides) under Hevea brasiliensis (rubber tree). The record is from RNAcentral. Lineage: Eukaryota; Viridiplantae; Streptophyta; Magnoliopsida; Malpighiales; Euphorbiaceae.
AAAAAAAAAAUAAUGAAUGAAAUCAGCAGGAAAUGGUAUUACCAGCAGAAAUAGCAACAAAAUUAUUAGCAAAAUAUACUGGCCAAAGCUGGAAAACUAUAAACCCUGAUUUAAAGAGCCAAAUAAUACAAACAUAUUCAUUAUGACAAAACCCAUCAGAAUUCUUGAAAUUUUUUAGAUGAUAAUCUGAGAAUUAAGGGGAAAAAGUAACAAGAAUAAGAAAAAAAAUAAAUUCAAAAGCACAAAUAUACGAAAACCCAGAUCGAUUUGGACCAAGAAACGGCAACCCCGUGAAAAAAUAAACAAGAAAAAGAAAGAAAGACCAUCACCUCAACGAAACAAUCAUGGAAAG